GACGAACGCUGGCGGCGUGCUUAACACAUGCAAGUCGAACGGUGAUGCUCCAGCUUGCUGGAGUGGAUCAGUGGCGAACGGGUGAGUAACACGUGAGCAACCUGCCCCAGACUCUGGAAUAAGCGCUGGAAACGGCGUCUAAUACUGGAUACGAAACUGGCCCGCAUGGGCAUGGUUUGGAAAGUUUUUCGGUUUGGGAUGGGCUCGCGGCCUAUCAGCUUGUUGGUGAGGUAAUGGCUCACCAAGGCGACGACGGGUAGCCGGCCUGAGAGGGCGACCGGCCACACUGGGACUGAGACACGGCCCAGACUCCUACGGGAGGCAGCAGUGGGGAAUAUUGCACAAUGGGCGAAAGCAUGAUGCAGCGACGCCGCGUGAGGGAUGACGGCCUUCGGGUUGUAAACCUCUUUCAGCAGGGAAGAAGCGAAAGUGACGGUACCUGCAGAAGAAGCACCGGCUAACUACGUG
Molecule: ribosomal RNA, 468 nt
Filed under: uncultured bacterium
Lineage: Bacteria
Description: partial 16S ribosomal RNA
Rfam family: Bacterial small subunit ribosomal RNA
Source: RNAcentral